AGAGUUUGAUCAUGGCUCAGAUUGAACGCUGGCGGCAGGCCUAACACAUGCAAGUCGAGCGGUAGCACAGAGAGCUUGCUCUCGGGUGACGAGCGGCGGACGGGUGAGUAAUGUCUGGGAAGCUGCCUGAUGGAGGGGGAUAACUACUGGAAACGGUAGCUAAUACCGCAUAAUGUCGCAAGACCAAAGUGGGGGACCUUCGGGCCUCAUGCCAUCAGAUGUGCCCAGAUGGGAUUAGCUAGUAGGUGGGGUAACGGCUCACCUAGGCGACGAUCCCUAGCUGGUCUGAGAGGAUGACCAGCCACACUGGAACUGAGACACGGUCCAGACUCCUACGGGAGGCAGCAGUGGGGAAUAUUGCACAAUGGGCGCAAGCCUGAUGCAGCCAUGCCGCGUGUGUGAAGAAGGCCUUCGGGUUGUAAAGCACUUUCAGCGGGGAGGAAGGCGUUAAGGUUAAUAACCUUGGCGAUUGACGUUACCCGCAGAAGAAGCACCGGCUAACUCCGUGCCAGCAGCCGCGGUAAUACGGAGGGUGCAAGCGUUAAUCGGAAUUACUGGGCGUAAAGCGCACGCAGGCGGUCUGUCAAGUCGGAUGUGAAAUCCCCGGGCUCAACCUGGGAACUGCAUUCGAAACUGGCAGGCUAGAGUCUUGUAGAGGGGGGUAGAAUUCCAGGUGUAGCGGUGAAAUGCGUAGAGAUCUGGAGGAAUACCGGUGGCGAAGGCGGCCCCCUGGACAAAGACUGACGCUCAGGUGCGAAAGCGUGGGGAGCAAACAGGAUUAGAUACCCUGGUAGUCCACGCCGUAAACGAUGUCGAUUUGGAGGUUGUGCCCUUGAGGCGUGGCUUCCGGAGCUAACGCGUUAAAUCGACCGCCUGGGGAGUACGGCCGCAAGGUUAAAACUCAAAUGAAUUGACGGGGGCCCGCACAAGCGGUGGAGCAUGUGGUUUAAUUCGAUGCAACGCGAAGAACCUUACCUGGUCUUGACAUCCACAGAACUUUCCAGAGAUGGAUUGGUGCCUUCGGGAACUGUGAGACAGGUGCUGCAUGGCUGUCGUCAGCUCGUGUUGUGAAAUGUUGGGUUAAGUCCCGCAACGAGCGCAACCCUUAUCCUUUGUUGCCAGCGGUUCGGCCGGGAACUCAAAGGAGACUGCCAGUGAUAAACUGGAGGAAGGUGGGGAUGACGUCAAGUCAUCAUGGCCCUUACGACCAGGGCUACACACGUGCUACAAUGGCAUAUACAAAGAGAAGCGACCUCGCGAGAGCAAGCGGACCUCAUAAAGUAUGUCGUAGUCCGGAUUGGAGUCUGCAACUCGACUCCAUGAAGUCGGAAUCGCUAGUAAUCGUAGAUCAGAAUGCUACGGUGAAUACGUUCCCGGGCCUUGUACACACCGCCCGUCACACCAUGGGAGUGGGUUGCAAAAGAAGUAGGUAGCUUAACCUUCGGGAGGGCGCUUACCACUUUGUGAUUCAUGACUGGGGUGAAGUCGUAACAAGGUAACCGUAGGGGAACCUGCGGUUGGAUCACCU
Molecule: ribosomal RNA, 1528 nt
Filed under: Klebsiella pneumoniae
Lineage: Bacteria; Pseudomonadati; Pseudomonadota; Gammaproteobacteria; Enterobacterales; Enterobacteriaceae
Description: bacterial SSU rRNA
Rfam family: Bacterial small subunit ribosomal RNA
Source: RNAcentral